Long non-coding RNA from Hordeum vulgare subsp. vulgare (domesticated barley), 921 nucleotides. RefSeq lists it as uncharacterized. The transcript has 5 exons. NCBI's taxonomy places the organism in Eukaryota, Viridiplantae, Streptophyta, Magnoliopsida, Poales, Poaceae. The record is from RefSeq and is a predicted model, not a curated record.
GUCGGUCGUACUCUCUGGAAGAAAACAUCUCCCUCCGCCCCCUCUCUCUCUCUCUUAGAAAACAUCUCCCUCUCUCUCGCGCACACGAACCCUAGCCCUCUCCCGAUCCAAGUCCGCCAACCACCUCCCUCUCCCCUCGCCGCCGGUCUACACCCUCCCUCUCCUGGCCGGUGUCGCGGGUGAAUCUCGUGUAAGCUCCCCUCCCCUCCCCUCCCCCAGAUAUCCCUCCCCCUCCUCCAGAUCGGCCCUCGGCCGACCGAUCCGCACGGCGCUGACGGCGGUGCGUGUGUGAUGCAGGCAUGGGUGCGGGGAUCCGCUGCCGCCAAGAAUCUUUCCCUCACUCACACGAGACAGAUGCGCGAGACUGACGGACCAGUAAAGUCCACUGCCUCUUCUGCCGCGCCGGUCUGCUUCCCGUCGUCUUUGCUCCAAGGCAUCUUUUGUUGGUGCCAUGGCGAUCGCGGACCUGGUCAAGACCACACUGGGGCCAAAACGAAUGGGAUGUGUGCUGUUCCCAGAGAAAAUGUACAUUUGGACAAAAUAUGGCAGCCAUUCGAAUGCCAAUGUGAUUUCUGAGAAGCAGAGGUGCAACCACGAUCGCCUCAACACCAAGAAGGCACAACAGCUUGUUGAAUGUUCCUCAUGACUUUCAGGCCUUCAUCAAGCUCAAAGUGUUGCAUUACCUCUCUUUUAUAGGAGCUCCAGGAUGAAGAAAUUUGAAGAAGCCUGAAUCCUGAAACCGGACAAAGCUGAGAGUAGCUAGUUAUAAUGUAGUGCUAGUUAUGUUGUACAGUAGUUGGCGUAUCAGACUGUAUGAACACCGCAAAGACUGUAGUUUCGUAUGUUUUAGUGGAAAUUUUUGGUAUCAUUUCAAGAAUUUCGUAUGUUCUCUUGCCAUUUGAAAUAUUUGUCAUUUCUGUA